RNAcentral lists this ribosomal RNA (1124 nucleotides) under Salmonella enterica subsp. enterica serovar Typhimurium. RNAcentral's name for it is "partial 23S ribosomal RNA". It matches the Rfam family "Bacterial large subunit ribosomal RNA", at positions 514 to 1452 of the family's 2925-position model. The record is from RNAcentral. Lineage: Bacteria; Pseudomonadati; Pseudomonadota; Gammaproteobacteria; Enterobacterales; Enterobacteriaceae.
GCGAAAAGAACCCCGGCGAGGGGAGUGAAAAAGAACCUGAAACCGUGUACGUACAAGCAGUGGGAGCCCCACCACUAAGCCAGUGGUGAACUCCACAUCCGCAUCCUUUGCUGAGGAUACGGUUAACGGAGCGAAAGCGACGUUCAACCGCAAAACAAGCAGAGGGGGCUUAGUGGUGGGGUGACUGCGUACCUUUUGUAUAAUGGGUCAGCGACUUAUAUUCUGUAGCAAGGUUAACCGAAUAGGGGAGCCGGAGGGAAACCGAGUCUUAAUUGGGCGUUAAGUUGCAGGGUAUAGACCCGAAACCCGGUGAUCUAGCCAUGGGCAGGUUGAAGGUUGGGUAACACUAACUGGAGGACCGAACCGACUAAUGUUGAAAAAUUAGCGGAUGACCUGUGGCUGGGGGUGAAAGGCCAAUCAAACCGGGAGAUAGCUGGUUCUCCCCGAAAGCUAUUUAGGUAGCGCCUCGUGAAUUCAUCUCCGGGGGUAGAGCACUGUUUCGGCUAGGGGGCCAUCCCGGCUUACCAACCCGAUGCAAACUGCGAAUACCGGAGAAUGUUAUCACGGGAGACACACGGCGGGUGCUAACGUCCGUCGUGAAGAGGGAAACAACCCAGACCGCCAGCUAAGGUCCCAAAGUCAUGGUUAAGUGGGAAACGAUGUGGGAAGGCCCAGACAGCCAGGAUGUUGGCUUAGAAGCAGCCAUCAUUUAAAGAAAGCGUAAUAGCUCACUGGUCGAGUCGGCCUGCGCGGAAGAUGUAACGGGGCUAAACCAUGCACCGAAGCUGCGGCAGCGAACGUAUCACCCAAGACAACUUUACGGAGUUGACGAUUGACGGAGCGAAGCGACGUCAAAGCGUUCAUUAAAGUCGAGUUGGCUUAGGGAUACGUUCGUUGGGUAGGGGAGCGUUCUGUAAGCCUGUGAAGGUGUGUCGUGAGGCAUGCUGGAGGUAUCAGAAGUGCGAAUGCUGACAUAAGUAACGAUAAAGCGGGUGAAAAGCCCGCUCGCCGGAAGACCAAGGGUUCCUGUCCAACGUUAAUCGGGGCAGGGUGAGUCGACCCCUAAGGCGAGGCCGAAAGGCGUAGUCGAUGGGAAACGGGUUAAUAUUCCCGUACUUGGUGUU